ACCUCAAGGCUUCUUCCUCUGGAUACUUCCUGGAGUUGGAGGAGGGUGAGGGGCCAUGUGAGGACCUUCUUGAGGACCUUCUUGAGGACCUUCUUGAGUGAAGGAAGGUGCCUGUGUGUAGAUGGGAAGGAGAGUGAUUCCCUGCUGACCUGAGUUCCAGAGUGAGCUCUGGGACUGAAUAGGAAAAGAGAAACCCCUCCCAGGAGACAAGUGUGUCUCGAGUGUGGCCCAGAGAGGAUUCUGGGAUUUGUGGUCCACCAAAAGUCAGUGAGGGCUAAGGAAACUAUCCUGUGAUAUAAGAUACUAAAGGGAUAUACAAUUCAUUCCGGGUUCAGCUUCCUUCUCAAGUAGAUCACUGGAUGCUCUUCUCCCCCCACCAGAUGUGACAAGACCGCACCUAAACCAACACCUGAAGCAUCAGUUUGUACAACAAAGUUCUUUUUAAAAAUCUGGAGUAACCAACACUGGGAGCUGACACAAGGCUGCUUUCAACUCUUUGAAUGUCUUCUGUGGUUUAGCUCCUCACUUAAUCAUUGUGGAUCAUUUCCCUUUUGUCAGAUCUGUGAAAGGGGCAGACAUGGUAGAAAGAAUUGAAAUAAACCACCGAUACGGUGCGGAUUUGCUUUUUA
This is a long non-coding RNA of Xenopus laevis (African clawed frog), 629 nucleotides long. RefSeq lists it as uncharacterized. The record is from RefSeq and is a predicted model, not a curated record. The transcript has 3 exons. Lineage: Eukaryota; Metazoa; Chordata; Amphibia; Anura; Pipidae.